AAGACUAUACUUUCAGGGAUCAUGUCUAUAGUUUGUUACUAAAAAAGAGGAUACCCAGCUGAAUUUGAAUUUCAGAUAAAGAAUGAAAUGUUAUUUACUAUAGACAUGUCCCAUGAAA
Molecule: small nucleolar RNA, 118 nt
Gene: U3
Rfam family: Small nucleolar RNA U3
About the family: Small nucleolar RNAs (snoRNAs) are involved in the processing and modification of rRNA in the nucleolus.
Source: Ensembl